Molecule: ribosomal RNA, 253 nt
Filed under: uncultured bacterium
Lineage: Bacteria
Description: partial 16S ribosomal RNA
Rfam family: Bacterial small subunit ribosomal RNA
Source: RNAcentral
GACGUAGGGCGCGAGCGUUGUCCGGAUUUAUUGGGCGUAAAGAGCUCGUAGGCGGCUUGUUGCGUCGACCGUGAAAACCCGGGGCUCAACUUCGGGCUUGCGGUCGAUACGGGCGGGCUAGAGUUCGGUAGGGGAGACUGGAAUUCCUGGUGUAGCGGUGAAAUGCGCAGAUAUCCGGAGGAACACCAGUGGCGAAGGCGACACGCUGGGCCGUACCUGACACUGAUGCGCGACAGCAUGGGGAGCAAACAGG